Molecule: ribosomal RNA, 502 nt
Filed under: uncultured bacterium
Lineage: Bacteria
Description: partial 16S ribosomal RNA
Rfam family: Bacterial small subunit ribosomal RNA
Source: RNAcentral
AUUGAACGCUGGCGGCAGGCUUAACACAUGCAAGUCGAGCGGGGUGAUGGUGCUUGCACUAUCACUUAGCGGCGGACGGGUGAGUAAUGCUUAGGAAUCUGCCUAUUAGUGGGGGACAACAUCUCGAAAGGGAUGCUAAUACCGCAUACGUCCUACGGGAGAAAGCAGGGGAUCACUUGUGACCUUGCGCUAAUAGAUGAGCCUAAGUCGGAUUAGCUAGUUGGUGGGGUAAAGGCCUACCAAGGCGACGAUCUGUAGCGGGUCUGAGAGGAUAAUCAGCCACACUGGGACUGAGACACGGCCCAGACUCCUACGGGAGGCAGCAGUGGGGAAUAUUGGACAAUGGGGGCAACCCUGAUCCAGCAAUGCCGCGUGUGUGAAGAAGGCCUGAGGGUUGUAAAGCACUUUCAGUGGGGAGGAGAGAUAUUUGGUUAAGAGCUGAGUAUUUGGACGUUACCCACAGAAGAAGCACCGGCUAACUCCGUGCCAGCCGCCGCAGUAA